This 497-nucleotide ribosomal RNA is filed under the name uncultured bacterium. RNAcentral's name for it is "partial 16S ribosomal RNA". It matches the Rfam family "Bacterial small subunit ribosomal RNA", at positions 28 to 507 of the family's 1533-position model. The record is from RNAcentral.
GAUGAACGCUGGCGGCGUGCCUAAUACAUGCAAGUCGAGCGAACAGACGAGGAGCUUGCUCCUCUGACGUUAGCGGCGGACGGGUGAGUAACACGUGGAUAAUCUACCUAUAAGACUGGGAUAACUUCGGGAAACCGGAGCUAAUACCGGAUAAUAUAUUGAACCGCAUGGUUCAAUAGUGAAAGACGGUUUUGCUGUCACUUAUAGAUGGAUCCGCGCCGCAUUAGCUAGUUGGUAAGGUAACGGCUUACCAAGGCGACGAUGCGUAGCCGACCUGAGAGGGUGAUCGGCCACACUGGAACUGAGACACGGUCCAGACUCCUACGGGAGGCAGCAGUAGGGAAUCUUCCGCAAUGGGCGAAAGCCUGACGGAGCGACGCCGCGUGAGUGAUGAAGGUCUUCGGAUCGUAAAACUCUGUUAUUAGGGAAGAACAAAUGUGUAAGUAACUAUGCACGUCUUGACGGUACCUAAUCAGAAAGCCACGGCUAACUACGUG